AACGCACAUUGCGCCCCUUGGUAUUCCAUGGGGCAUGCCUGUUCGAGCGUCAUUUGUACCCUCAAGCUAUGCUUGGUGUUGGGUGUUUGUCCUCUCCUCUGCGAUUGGACUCGCCUUAAAGACAUUGGCAGCCAGUGUAUUGGUCUUGAAGCGCAGCACAUUUUGCGACUCUUGCUGAUUAUCACUUGCAUCCAGUAAGCCUAUUUUAACACUUUUGACCUCGGAUCAGGUAGGGAUACCCGCUGAACUUAA
RNAcentral lists this unclassified non-coding RNA (252 nucleotides) under uncultured fungus. RNAcentral describes it as "sequence contains ITS2". Lineage: Eukaryota; Fungi. The record is from RNAcentral. RNAcentral also lists the same sequence under 1 other name.